CCUUACCAAGUCUUCCCACUUCUUAGCGAUCAAGAUGACCGAUCUGUUGGACAAGUUGCAAAGAAUGUACAUCCAGGAAAUAGUCAGAUUACAUGGAGUGCCAAAGACAGUAGUGUCCGACAGGGACCCCAGGUUCACUUCUUUGUUUUGGUCUAGUUUCUAACAAGCCAUGGCAACGAAACUAUCCUUUAGUACUACUUUCCACCCUUAUACCAAUGGAUAGUCAGAAAGGAUGAUCCGCACACUUGAGGACAUGCUCUGAGCUUGUGUUCUUGACCUUGGGGACCAUUAGGAUGACCAUCUACCCCUGAUAGAGUUCGCCUACAACAAUAGCUACCAAGCAAGUAUUGGCAUGGCUCUAUAUGAGGCAUUGUAUGGCCACCCAUGCAGAUCGCUGAUCUAUUGGGAAGAAGUGGAUGAUAGAAAACUGUUCGGCCUAGACCUUGUAGAGGAGACUACAACCAAAAUAGUUAAGAUCAGGAAGAACAUUCAGACGGCUCACAGCAGGCAGAAGAGUUAUGCGGACACCUGGAGGAGGGUUUUGGAAUUUGAGAAAGAUGAUCGAGUGUUCCUUAAGGUCACCCCUUUCAAGAGAAUCAGUAGGUUUGGCAAGACGGGGAAACUAAGCCCCGCUUAAUUGGGCCAUUUGAGAUCUUAGACAGAAUUGGUACCGCCGUCUACAGACUUCCUUGCCUCCAGAACUUUUCAGGGUCCAUAAUGUGUUUCAUGUGUCUACGCUACGCAAGUACAACAAAGACCCCUCUCACGUCUUGGCCCACGAGCCUCUUUCACUAUAGGAGGAUCUAUCCUAUGAGGAAGUACCAGUCGGUAUUGUGGACCGAAAGAGCAGAUUACUCUGCAAAUAGAAAAUUCCCUUCGUUAAGGUCAUCUGGUAGAAUCACACACUGAGAGAGGCCACAUGGGAGUUAGAAUCAGACUUCAGAGCCUAAUAUCCCUAGCUGUUUGAUUGAGAGUGAGAGAGACAAAUUUGAGGGACCAAAUUUCUUUUAAGGCGGAGAGAGUUGUAAUGCCCAAAUUAAUUUAAAUUUAAAUUAAAUUAAUUAUAAAUAUGAUUUUUUAAUGUUUUAAUUUUAGUGUAAAAAUGAAAGAAAUAUGGAGGAUGAAAUUGAAAACAAUUUUGGAAAAAAGGGGUGAAAAUUUGGGUUAUGGGGGUAUUUUUGAAAGAAAAAUUAGAAACCUGGGGUCAAAAUAUAAUUUAAAAAUUUUUUACCAUGUAGGAUGCCCGGUCAGCAGCCCCGACGAACUAAGUUGCAUCACAUGGCAAUGGAUGCUGACGUGGUGCCACGCGAGAGGCCAUACGGGCGAUUCACUUGCCCACAAUUGAAUGGCCCAGAUUCGUUCCCGCACGCACGGACGACCUGGAUGCGUUCCCUCCCCAAACGCAAUCGAACAACCAGAUUUAAAUGUUAUCAGACGGUCCAGAUCAGAUCGCGAUGAACGGUUCAGAUUCACUCCCUAUUUAAUCGUGAUCAGACGGUCCAGAUCAAACGCGAUAGAAGGCCCAGAUUAAAUAGAGAUGGAUAUAAAUAACCCUUUUCACACCAAACCCUAACCCUAGUCGUCGGAUGCCCUCGCCGGCGAAGAAGACUUAGCAGCCGAGAAUGAGAGCCGCCGCCACCCGCUGCCGCACUAGAGCCCUUUCCGACCGCUAAAAGAGGUAAAAUUUCCCCCUUUGCUCAGAAUUCAAUUUUAACACCCCCAUGGCCAAAUUAGAGCAAAAGAACCGACUGAUUGGUGAGAAAUCACAUUAAUUAAACUUUGCCCCCGGUCAGAAAUCAGAGCAAAAGACCUGUGUUGGUCUUGCCGAGCGGGUCGGGUGGAUAUACAGUUUACAGUGAUGCCUCUUACUUAGGGUUGAGUUAGGUUGUGUUUUGAUGCAGUAUUGGAAGGUCAUAGCCUAUGGGUCUAGAUAGUUGAAGAAUCAUGAGGAAAACUACCCCACCCAUGACUUAGAACUUGCCACAAUUAUCCACACCUUGAAGACUUAGCACCGUUAUUUGUAUGGGGAGACCUUUCAGAUCUAUACUGAUUAUAAGAGCUUGAAACACAUAUUCACUCAAAAAAAUCUCAACAUGCGUAAGAGAAGGUGGAUAGAACUCCUCAAAGACUAUGACUGUGACAUCAUGUAUCAGCCGAGUAAGGGCAACGUGGUAGCCGAUGCACUCAGCAGGAAAAACACAGGUAUAUUAACUCAUUUGAUGGUUUCAAAAUAUAGGUAGAUAGGGACUGCACAACAAGUACAACUUCAGGAACUGAAGAGAGUCACAUGUUUGGGCCACCUGACUGCCAGAGUUAAUCCAGAGAAUAAAGGAAGCUCAAUCCGUCGAUUCCACCCUAGCAACCUCAAGAAAGAUGCAGAACAAGGAGUUAACUAAAAAUUCCGAGUCUCUACUGAUGGGUUGCUUAGAUUUCAGGACAGCGUGUGUGUUUUAGGUGACAGUGAGUUGAAAAGGGACAUCAUGAUAGAGGCCCAUAGCUCAAUGUUUACCAUCAUCCCGAAAGCACUAAAAUGCAUCAAAGUAGGUGACCCCAAUUUUGGUGGAACGGGAUGAAAAGAGAUAUAGUUGACUUUGUUUCCAAGUGUUUGGUAUAUCAGUAAGUAAAGGCUGAGCAUCAAUGCUCAGGUGGGCUACUUCAGCCAAUAUCAAUUUCAUAGUGGAAGUGGGAACAUAUCACCAUAGAUUUUGUGACAAUAUUGCCUAAGGCACGUUUAGGACAUGAUGCCAUUUGGGUAAUUAUUGACUGCUUUACCAAGUCUUCCCACUUCUUAGCGAUCAAGAUCUCUUGGACAAGUUGCAAAGAAUGUACAUCCAGGAAAUAGUCAGAUUACAUGGAGUGCAGUGAUAGUAGUGUCCGACUGGGACCCUAGGUUCACUUCUUUAUUCUGGUCUAGUUUCUAGCAAACCACGGGAACGAAACUAUCCCUUAGUAUUACAUUCCACCCUUAUAUCAAUGGAUAGUCAGAAAGGAUGAUCCGCACACUUGAGGAUCUGCUCUGACCUUGUGUUCUUGACCUUGGGGACCAUUAGGAUGACCAUCUACCCCUGAUAGAGUUCGCCUACAACAAUAGCUACCAAGCAAGUAUUGGCAUGGCUCUAUAUGAGGCAUUGUAUGGCCGCCCAUGCAGAUCGCUGAUCUGUUGGGAAGAAGUGGGUGAUAGAAAACUGGUAAGCCUAGACCUUGUAGAGGAGACUACAACCAAAUUAGUUAAGAUCAGGAAGAACAUUCAGACGGCUCAGAGCAGGCAGAAGAGUUAUGCGGACACCUGGAGGAGGGUUUUGGAAUUUGAGAAAGAUGAUCGAGUGUUCCUUAAGGUCACCCCUUUCAAGAGAAUCAGUAGGUUUGGCAAGACGGGAAAACUAAGCCCCGCUUAAUUGGGCCAUUUGAGAUCUUAGACAGAAUUGGUACCGCCGCCUACAGACUUCCUUGCCUCCAGAACUUUUCAGGGUCCAUAAUGUGUUU
RNAcentral lists this long non-coding RNA (3483 nucleotides) under Carica papaya (papaya). RNAcentral describes it as "long non-coding RNA (CPAP_LNC002192)". Lineage: Eukaryota; Viridiplantae; Streptophyta; Magnoliopsida; Brassicales; Caricaceae. The record is from RNAcentral.